CUCCACACUCCUCCUCAUGCCAUGAUUCGGUUGGCCCUGAUAACAUUGAAGGGUAUGGCGCAGUGCAGGAUCUGGCUGAUUACUUGGCUGGACUAAGAGACCACCGUCUUGCGCUGACUCAGGAGGAAUGUAGUCAGGUCAUUGCUCUGUGGCAGGAACUGGGGGAGUAUGACAAAAAAAAAACUGUCUACCCAGCUCGACACCAGACCAGCCUGAGCAAGGGACGAUUCUGGGCUACGAAGAAGAUUGUGGCUCCAGGUGUGGAGAGCACCAAAAGGUACUGUAGGCGGUGCAAGGCACAGGAGCAGGAUAUUUUAAAGCAGGGUC
RNAcentral lists this long non-coding RNA (327 nucleotides) under Gouania willdenowi (blunt-snouted clingfish). RNAcentral's name for it is "lncRNA (ENSGWIG00000017769.1)". Lineage: Eukaryota; Metazoa; Chordata; Actinopteri; Blenniiformes; Gobiesocidae. The record is from RNAcentral.